CUGAAUAUGGAUUUGGAAUUGAAAAUUAACCUCCCAACUUGCAUUUUCUUGUGUAGAAGUUGCACCUACAAAAAAAAUCAAGAGUUCAAAAAGGUUUCACAAAUUGAAAGAAGAAAGAUAGAGAGACCUUGGCUGUUGAGAAUAUGCCUAUUUCUCAUCUUGUUAAUGAAUUAUUUGAAUAGGCUGUUUCCACUGGUUUAAAACUGUGAAUUAAUAAAAACAUAUGCAUAUAAGUAGUAGUUAAAGACAAAAUUUAACUAAAAUACAAGUUGUAGUUGGACAGAUUGUAGCAAUUUAUUUGCUGAACUUUGUAUUUUCUUAAGUGUUCUUUUUUCUUUUUUAAUUGGAAAAAUAUCAAUGACUUUUUUUCCAGUUGUUUUCUGUACAUGCAGAACGUAGAUGAUGUGUUGGUUGGUGUAAUUUUCUUGGCAUUCAACUGUACAUGAAGGCAAAGAAUCACAAAUGAGGCACAGCAGAAAGUACACUGCUGAAUACUAGGAAAAUUAGAGCUUACAAAUCAGCUAAGGAGAUGCAAACUGAUUCUGAGGCACCUUGGGGGAACAGAUUCCACUUCAUGCAUGUUCCAAUUCCCAUGUUAAGUGAUAACAAUGAAUUGAACCCAGUUGAGUUUGUGUUAGAAGCCAAGAAAAAAAUCAACAGGCAGAUAAAUUCUUUGGCAGUACCAAUGACUGGUGUGCUUUUAC
This 704-nucleotide long non-coding RNA is filed under the name Phaseolus vulgaris (common bean). RNAcentral describes it as "long non-coding RNA (PVUL_LNC004876)". The record is from RNAcentral. Lineage: Eukaryota; Viridiplantae; Streptophyta; Magnoliopsida; Fabales; Fabaceae.